RNAcentral lists this ribosomal RNA (501 nucleotides) under Phomopsis sp. 11246_1. RNAcentral's name for it is "eukaryotic LSU rRNA". The stretch from base 182 to 335 matches the Rfam family "5.8S ribosomal RNA". The record is from RNAcentral. Lineage: Eukaryota; Fungi; Ascomycota; Sordariomycetes; Diaporthales; Diaporthaceae.
CAUUUGCUGGAACGCGCCCCUGGCGCACCCAGAAACCCUUUGUGAACUUAUACCUUACUGUUGCCUCGGCGCAGGCCGUCCCCUGAUGGGGUCCCUCUGGAGACAGAGGAGCAGCCGGCCGGUGGCCAAAUUAACUCUGUUUUUACACUGAAACUCUGAGUACAAAACAUAAAUGAAUCAAAACUUUCAACAACGGAUCUCUUGGUUCUGGCAUCGAUGAAGAACGCAGCGAAAUGCGAUAAGUAAUGUGAAUUGCAGAAUUCAGUGAAUCAUCGAAUCUUUGAACGCACAUUGCGCCCUCUGGUAUUCCGGAGGGCAUGCCUGUUCGAGCGUCAUUUCAACCCUCAAGCCUGGCUUGGUGUUGGGGCACUGCUCUCUGACGAGAGCAGGCCCUGAAAUAUAGUGGCGAGCUCGCCAGGACUCCGAGCGUAGUAGUUAAACCCUCGCUUUGGAAGGCCUGGCGGUGCCCUGCCGUUAAACCCCAACUUCUGAAAAUUUGAC